ACGUAGGUGGCAAGCGUUAUCCGGAAUUAUUGGGCGUAAAGCGCGCGCAGGUGGUUUCUUAAGUCUGAUGUGAAAGCCCACGGCUCAACCGUGGAGGGUCAUUGGAAACUGGGGAACUUGAGUGCAGAAGAGAAAAGCGGAAUUCCACGUGUAGCGGUGAAAUGCGUAGAGAUGUGGAGGAACACCAGUGGCGAAGGCGGCGCUCUGGAACAUUUCUGACGCUGAGGCUCGAAAGCGUGGGGAGCAAACAGGA
Molecule: ribosomal RNA, 253 nt
Filed under: uncultured prokaryote
Description: partial 16S ribosomal RNA
Rfam family: Bacterial small subunit ribosomal RNA
Source: RNAcentral